This 217-nucleotide ribosomal RNA is filed under the name uncultured bacterium. RNAcentral describes it as "partial 16S ribosomal RNA". It matches the Rfam family "Bacterial small subunit ribosomal RNA", at positions 1287 to 1500 of the family's 1533-position model. The record is from RNAcentral.
CUAAGUUCGGAUUGCAGGCUGCAACCCGCCCUGCAUGAAGUCGGAAUCGCUAGUAAUCGCGAGUCAGCAUAUCGCGGUGAAUACGUUCCCGGGCCUUGUACACACCGCCCGUCACACCAUGAGAGUCUGUAACACCCAAAGCCGGUGGGAUAACCUUUAUAGGAGUCAGCCGUCUAAGGUAGGACAGAUGAUUAGGGUGAAGUCGUAACAAGGUAUC